GAUAAAAUACCCAUUACAGAAUCCCAUGGUGGGGGAACAGGAAGGUUUGAGCAUGAAAGGCUGCAUCAUCGAGAGAAUUUGCAUGUGGAUAAGAUACCCAUUACAGAAUUCCACGGUGGAGGAACAGGGAGAUUUGAGCAUGAAAGGCUGCAUCACCGAGAGCAUUUGCCUGUGGAUAGGAAACCCGUUACAGAAUCCCACGGUGAAGGAACAGGGAUAUUUGAGCAUGAAAGACUGCAUCACCGAGAGCAUUUGCCUGUGGAUAGGAAACCCAUCACAGAAUCCCAC
Molecule: long non-coding RNA, 288 nt
Filed under: Medicago truncatula (barrel medic)
Lineage: Eukaryota; Viridiplantae; Streptophyta; Magnoliopsida; Fabales; Fabaceae
Description: long non-coding RNA (MTRU_LNC007639)
Source: RNAcentral